RNAcentral lists this transfer RNA (74 nucleotides) under Turneriella parva DSM 21527. RNAcentral describes it as "tRNA-Gly". It matches the Rfam family "tRNA". Rfam says of the family: Transfer RNA (tRNA) molecules are approximately 80 nucleotides in length. Their secondary structure includes four short double-helical elements and three loops (D, anti-codon, and T loops). Further hydrogen bonds mediate the characteristic L-shaped molecular structure. tRNAs have two regions of fundamental functional importance: the anti-codon, which is responsible for specific mRNA codon recognition, and the 3' end, to which the tRNAs corresponding amino acid is attached (by aminoacyl-tRNA synthetases). tRNAs cope with the degeneracy of the genetic code in two manners: having more than one tRNA (with a specific anti-codon) for a particular amino acid; and 'wobble' base-pairing, i.e. permitting non-standard base-pairing at the 3rd anti-codon position. Lineage: Bacteria; Pseudomonadati; Spirochaetota; Leptospiria; Leptospirales; Leptospiraceae. The record is from RNAcentral.
GCGGGCAUGGUGUAACGGUAGCACAAAAGCCUUCCAAGCUUUUAGAGAGGGUUCGAGUCCCUUUGCCCGCUCAA